This 210-nucleotide long non-coding RNA is filed under the name Phoenix dactylifera (date palm). RNAcentral describes it as "long non-coding RNA (PDAC_LNC020770)". Lineage: Eukaryota; Viridiplantae; Streptophyta; Magnoliopsida; Arecales; Arecaceae. The record is from RNAcentral.
GAUUCAGAGAAAUAUUUAAGCCCGGAUGUCAAACAUCAAACCCUUAUAAAAUGGUGAGGCAUGUAACACCAAGUGUUAGUUUUUCAUUUAGCUGGGAUGCCCCAUGGGUAUGGUCGUUGAUCUGAAGUCAUUCCUACGUAAGUCCUAAAAAAAGCAUACUUUAGCAUAAGUAAAACAAGUGCAAAUGUCUUUUUCCAACUUUGGCGCCAU